GACGAACGCUGGCGGCGUGCUUAACACAUGCAAGUCGAACGGAAAGGCCCUGCUUUUGUGGGGUGCUCGAGUGGCGAACGGGUGAGUAACACGUGAGUAACCUGCCCUUGACUUUGGGAUAACUUCAGGAAACUGGGGCUAAUACCGGAUAGGAGCUCCUGCUGCAUGGUGGGGGUUGGAAAGUUUCGGCGGUUGGGGAUGGACUCGCGGCUUAUCAGCCUGUUGGUGGGGUAGUGGCUUACCAAGGCUUUGACGGGUAGCCGGCCUGAGAGGGUAACCGGCCACAUUGGGACUGAGAUACGGACCAGACUCCUACGGGAGGCAGCAGUGGGGAAUAUUGCACAAUGGGCGGAAGCCUGAUGCAGCAACGCCGCGUGCGGGAUGACGGCCUUCGGGUUGUAAACCGCUUUCGCCUGUGACGAAGCGUGAGUGACGGUAAUGGGUAAAGAAGCACCGGCUAACUACGUG
This 468-nucleotide ribosomal RNA is filed under the name uncultured bacterium. Its description in RNAcentral is "partial 16S ribosomal RNA". It matches the Rfam family "Bacterial small subunit ribosomal RNA", at positions 28 to 507 of the family's 1533-position model. The record is from RNAcentral.